AUUGAACGCUGGCGGCAUGCUUUACACAUGCAAGUCGAGCGGCAGCGCGGGGGCAACCCUGGCGGCGAGCGGCGAACGGGUGAGUAAUACAUCGGAACGUACCCAGGAGUGGGGGAUAGCCCGGCGAAAGCCGGAUUAAUACCGCAUACGAUCUUAGGAUGAAAGUGGGGGACCGCAAGGCCUCACGCUUUUGGAGCGGCCGAUGUCCGAUUAGCUAGUUGGUGGGGUAAAGGCCUACCAAGGCGACGAUCGGUAGCUGGUCUGAGAGGAUGAUCAGCCACACUGGGACUGAGACACGGCCCAGACUCCUACGGGAGGCAGCAGUGGGGAAUUUUGGACAAGUGGGGGAACCCUGAUCCAGCCAUGCCGCGUGCGGGAAGAAGGCCU
This 387-nucleotide ribosomal RNA is filed under the name uncultured bacterium. RNAcentral's name for it is "bacterial SSU rRNA". It matches the Rfam family "Bacterial small subunit ribosomal RNA", at positions 29 to 417 of the family's 1533-position model. The record is from RNAcentral.